AUUCGACCUGCGCUUUGUUUCAAUUGCCCUGCGCCGCCGAUACGGGGCGCGCCCGGAUCCAGUCGUUGGCAACGGGUUAUGGCUGUACGAAGCAAGGAGGAGGCGUUGCGGACGCGGGUUCGAGUCCCGCCAGCUCCACCACCUGGGUAUUGGGGGGCCAAUGGCCAGGUGAAGGGGCUGUACUGGUUUCGACGUGGCGAGCAAUCGGCGUGGACAGCCCGGGAGGCGACCGACGUUAUCGGCGCAAAAACCAUAAUCGCCAAUCAAGUCGAUUAUCAUCAGGCCCGCAUCGCGGCCUGAUCC
Molecule: non-coding RNA, 303 nt
Organism: Stenotrophomonas chelatiphaga
Lineage: Bacteria; Pseudomonadati; Pseudomonadota; Gammaproteobacteria; Lysobacterales; Lysobacteraceae
Source: Rfam